UCCAGACUCCUACGGGAGGCAGCAGUGAGGAAUAUUGGUCAAUGGUCGGGAGACUGAACCAGCCAAGCCGCGUGAGGGAUGAAGGUACAGAGUAUCGUAAACCUCUUUUGUCGGAGAACAAAACCCGGGACGUGUCCCGGACUGCGUGUAUCCGAAGAAAAAGCAUCGGCUAACUCCGUGCCAGCAGCCGCGGUAAUACGGAGGAUGCGAGCGUUAUCCGGAUUUAUUGGGUUUAAAGGGUGCGCAGGCGGAAUAUCAGGUCAGCGGUAAAAUUUCGGGGCUCAACCCCGUCGUGCCGUUGAAACUGGCGUUCUUGAGUGAGCGAGAAGUAUGCGGAAUGCGUGGUGUAGCGGUGAAAUGCAUAGAUAUCACGCAGAACUCCGAUUGCGAAGGCAGCAUACCGGCGCUCAACUGACGCUCAUGCACGAAAGCGUGGGUAUCGAACAGGAUUAGAUACCCCCGUACG
This 466-nucleotide ribosomal RNA is filed under the name uncultured bacterium. RNAcentral describes it as "bacterial SSU rRNA". It matches the Rfam family "Bacterial small subunit ribosomal RNA", at positions 330 to 793 of the family's 1533-position model. The record is from RNAcentral.